GGGACUAUAGCUCAGUGGCACAGUACCUGCCUGGCAAGUGUGAGGUCCUGAGUUCAAUUCUCAGUACUCA
RNAcentral lists this transfer RNA (70 nucleotides) under Cavia porcellus (domestic guinea pig). It matches the Rfam family "tRNA". Rfam says of the family: Transfer RNA (tRNA) molecules are approximately 80 nucleotides in length. The record is from Rfam by way of RNAcentral. Lineage: Eukaryota; Metazoa; Chordata; Mammalia; Rodentia; Caviidae.